Molecule: non-coding RNA, 91 nt
Filed under: unclassified sequences
Description: GP20-a RNA
Rfam family: GP20-a RNA
About the family: gut metagenomes. Environment (Cow rumen (57))
Source: RNAcentral
AAUACUCCAGCGUAAAGAGAUAUAAAGAACGCACAUUCAGUGGAAACUGUAAUCCACAAUUAAACAAGACAGAUAUAAAGAAUGGAGGCAU